AGUAAUGCAUAGGAAUUUGCCUUGAAGUGGGGGAUAGCCCGGAGAAAUCCGGAUUAAUACCGCAUAUGUUCUACGGAACAAAGUGGGCCUCUGAUUUAAGCUCAUGCUUUGAGAUAAGCCUAUGUCGGAUUAGCUAGUUGGUAGGGUAAAAGCCUACCAAGGCGACGAUCCGUAGCUGGUUUGAGAGGAUGAUCAGCCACACUGGGACUGAGACACGGCCCAG
RNAcentral lists this ribosomal RNA (223 nucleotides) under uncultured bacterium. RNAcentral describes it as "partial 16S ribosomal RNA". It matches the Rfam family "Bacterial small subunit ribosomal RNA", at positions 109 to 334 of the family's 1533-position model. The record is from RNAcentral.